GCACCGGAAGCGGGGCGCUGGGGCGCCUGAGGCUGGGACCACCCGAAGCUGGGGACCCCCCAGCCCUGAAGGCGCCGUCGGAAGAGGUUGUGAGUGUGAAGUCCUGCGGAGGGCUGCAAAGGGCAGCACGGUUCCCGACACUCUUCCAGUGCAACCAAAGAGCAGAUGCAGGGCCCAGUGACAGAAUGUGGAUAAGGUAGAAGACCGGACUGGUCCAGUGGCUUCUAUUUCUUCAAAGAAGAAUGAAGCACAAAGAGAAUCAGAAAGAUGGGAAUCAAGGACCAGAAGUCUGAAGACAGAAGAGACUCGAGACAGUUAUGAAGAAUGAGAAGGCUGUGGCACAAAGGAAACCAGAGAGAUUUUGGCGACUUGCUGAAGCUUCCGAAAGGUGACGACGAGGACAGGACCUUCAUUCUCUGGACUCAGUUACAGGAGGGGUGAGUGUCAUGGCGCCCUUACGAAGGUCAGAGGACAACUUGCAGGAAUUGGUUCUCCUUUCGCCAUGGGAGUCCUGGGGACUGAACUCCAGUCAUCAGGCUAGGUGCUGUGUGCCUUUGCUGUGUCCCCAGCCCAUGAAUAGCUUAUAAAAAAUAUUAUAGACAAAUGAUAGGCAGGUGAUAGAUAAACAGACAGUCUCUGGAGUUACAAAAUGGUAUGUUUACCAUUAAGGUAAACGGACCAGUACUGUAAUGCUAAUUACCCAAAUAAGCCUCAAAGUUUCAGUGGCUUUAAAAUACAUGCAUUUGGUUCUCAUAGUCUAGUGUGAGUGUUCCUGCUUGGCAGGUGGUUUGCCAUUCAUGUUCGUGAAUAAUGCCACUCAUUCUAAGAGUAAUGAGCGACAAGCCAAACAAAUGACAGCAUGUUGCAUGUCCUGUGGAAUUUCUAUGAAGCAGAGCUUUGCUGGCCAGCCUCGUCCCUGUUACAUUGUGAGCUACUUUCUCUUCCUACACAAAUGUUCACUUUCUACUUCAUUUUGCACUUUCUCCCAACGUUCUUUCAGUGGUGCUGAGAAUCAAGCCAAGGGCUCGUACAUACUCUGUAAACCAGUUAGCUC
Peromyscus maniculatus bairdii (prairie deer mouse) is the source of this 1054-nucleotide non-coding RNA. The record is from RefSeq and is a predicted model, not a curated record. Lineage: Eukaryota; Metazoa; Chordata; Mammalia; Rodentia; Cricetidae.